GAGAUGUCCAGGGGGCCUCCCACAUCCUAACCCUGAACCAGUUGUAUGUCAGUGUUUGUGGUCCUAGGAGUCAGAUGCAGGGACAUGUGGCCAUGCUGAGGCUGCAGGAGCCAGGAACCCCAGGAGAUGGGCCUUGCCCUUCUUCAGCAAAGGUAGGGCUAGAUGCCUCUUGUUACAGUUCCUUCUAGAGCAUUUUGUAACUGGGAAUGUGUGGAAUUGGGGGUGGGUGGGUGAGAAGGAUGAAUCCUGACUACUGAGCUAGGGAUAAAGGGCAAAGGACACUGAGCAGGCUCUUGUAAUAAUCCAGGCAAGCACUGAUGUGCUUUGGACCAUGAUGGUGGCAGUGGAAGUAGCAAGAAGUGAUUGGAUUCUCAAUAUAUUUGGGCAGCAGAACUUACAGGGUUCCCAAACAGGAUGAAUGUGGGUUGUAAGAAAAGAAGGGGAGCAAAGGACAGCUUCCAAGUUUUUGUUUCAAAGUAUUGUUAAUUACCAAGACAUGGAAGACUAUGGAGGGAACAUUUUUAAAUGACAGAAAACAGGAGUUCAAUUUGGGGCAUGUUAAAUAUGAGAGGAUUUUUAGAGAUCAGGUUGAGAUGUUGAGAAGGCAUUUGGACAUGUUAGCCUGGAGUUUAGGAGCAUUUGGUAUAUAUAAACUUGGAAGUCAGCAAUAAAUUGUAAUGGCAAACAAAUCCUCCUGCCUUGUAUACACAAGAGAGAUAUUAGGGGGAGUUGGGAGGACAGCUUCUAAAUAUUUGUUGGAUGAAUCAAUAAAUGGAAUGAAUUAUUUUUUCCAGCUGUACAUGGAGUUUGUUUAAGCCGUUUGUAUUGAACAGUUUGCAAUGUGAUCAACAGGACAUAUUUGGGGAAUAAUCGAGUAGGCCAGUGGUUCUUGGUGUGAGCUGGGAGAACUUUUGCAAUUGGAGAUGUUGUGAAAUCCUCUAGGGACUUUCUCAAGUUACACCACCAUUCUUGGUUGAAAUUGUUGUGGUGGGGAAAUUUUUUUUGAGAACCAUCGAGUUAGUGCUAGCAUAGAAUCUAACAAGAAAUGGCCCUGCAUCCAUUCUCUUUUCUUCUAAUAACAGCCCCAGAUUUCCAUUUUUGGACCUACCUUUUCCUUUUUAUCAGGCUAAGUGUUCAUGGUGGGGCUCUGUCCUUAGUUCCAGGGAUAAAGCCUGUGACCCAAACUUAAACCGCAGAUCAUUUUCCCCAGGCCAUGGAGAUUGUUUCAAAUGUGGGCACAUGGCCUGAAUGGGUCAUAUCAGAGUAAAUCUUAGGGCUUCUGGGUUAUGCCACCAUCACAGGCUCUUGCUUUCCUCACUGAACUUGAACCUAGACGGAUGUAAGCUGGAGCUGUGGCAGCCAUCAUUGCCCUGUGAAAAGUCCACUUGGAGCUGCCAAAGACCACCCCAGGAGCUUCAGAAUGAAGACAACCUGGAAGUCAGAGCUGACAGAAAUGCCUCUUAUUGUUUACAUUAUGAAGUCUCAACUUGGAUGGAAGCCCAACUGCAACACGGCCUCCUAAAAUGAGACGCAACUGUUCAACUGAACUGUUCUCAGGACUAAAAGGCUGUGUCAAUAAGAUACGGGGAAUAUUUGUUCUUCUGUGUGUUCCGAUCCUUGUUUUUCUUUCCCUUCGUUGAUCUCUUGUUUCACAACUUCCAACCCAAAUCUGCUCACAGCUACUAACUUGGCUUUUAACAUAUGAAACUUUCUAAAAGUAAAGUUUCAAAUGGGGAAUGAAGAGGCUCAGAAUACACUACCCCAAAACAUGUCACUCAGAACACAUCAUCCCCAAAUAUGCCACUUUGGCAUCAGAAUUAUUUUAAACUAAAGGCACAUAAAAACAGGAGAUGCAAGAAGAUCACUCUGACCUUCACUGUUCUUUAAAAGCCAGAGAUGAAAUUCCCAUGUGAAAGGUGUUCUCCCUAAACCAAGAAGAAAGUAACAUUCUCAUCACAAAGGAUAGGAAGUUGAGGCUGAUAGGAAUCUAUACAAGCAUCCCUUAUGUUCCUAAUUACUUAUUUACCCAGUUAUUUACCCUAGCAUAAGCCCCUUUGCCUUGUUACAUUUUCACAAUUCAGGGCAUAAAUGUUUGACUCUAGCUGCUGCUUUGUGUCUUCAUUUCCUUAUGAAUGCUCUCCUGCCAUUAAAAAACUUGCAUUAAAUAAUUUAUAUACUUUUCUCCUGUUGAUUUGUCUUAUGUCUAUUUAAUUCUCCAGGCCCAGGCAACAAACAAACAAACAAGAAAACAAAACAAAAACAAAAAACCCCCAACAACAACAACAACAAAACCAUAAAAGAGGAGGGGCAAAUUUUUGCCUCCUCUUCUGCAUUUUUCACAUGCUUUAUCCUGUUUUCACUUCUUUACUUUCUGGCACUAUAAGGUGUUCCAGGCUCAUCUUAUAUUUAUUUUCCCUAUCCUAGCCCUGGAAUCAGCCACUUCUACACUUCUUGAAGGAGUCCUGGUUCCUUUCAUCAGGGAACGGCAUUUCGAAAUCAAGAUCUGAGUGCUGGCUGUGCUCAUUGCUACUGGUGUCACUGCUCAUAGUCUCCUCUCUCUCAGUGGGCAGAGCUAGGUAAUUCAUGCUUUGGUACUCAAUGAAAUAAAAGAGGGCACAAACAAAU
RNAcentral lists this long non-coding RNA (2625 nucleotides) under Homo sapiens (human). Its description in RNAcentral is "HSALNT0344106". The record is from RNAcentral. Lineage: Eukaryota; Metazoa; Chordata; Mammalia; Primates; Hominidae.